CCAGCUCCAAUAGCGUAUACUAAAGUUGUUGCAGUUAAAAAGCUCGUAGUUGAAUUUCUGGUUUCGGGACUCGGUCAGCCCCUAGGGGUUUGUACCUGUGGCACGAUACCAUCUAUGAGGAUUUUCUAUCUGUCAUUGAGUUGAUGGGUAGAAGGGCCUCGUCAUUUACUGUGAGCAAAAUAGAGUGUUCAAAGCAGGCUUAUGCCGUUGAAUACAUUAGCAUGGAAUAAUAAGAUAAGACCUUGGUCUAUUUUGUUGGUUAGUACUCCAAGGUAAUGAUUAAUAGGGACAGUUGGGGGUAUUCGUAUUCAAUUGUCAGAGGUGAAAUUCUUGGAUUUAUGGAAGACGAACAACUGCGAAAGCAUUUACCAAGGAUGUUUUCA
This 383-nucleotide ribosomal RNA is filed under the name uncultured Ochromonas. RNAcentral's name for it is "SSU rRNA". It matches the Rfam family "Eukaryotic small subunit ribosomal RNA", at positions 585 to 972 of the family's 1831-position model. Lineage: Eukaryota; Chrysophyceae; Chromulinales; Chromulinaceae. The record is from RNAcentral.